Long non-coding RNA from Callithrix jacchus (white-tufted-ear marmoset), 3013 nucleotides. RefSeq lists it as uncharacterized. The record is from RefSeq and is a predicted model, not a curated record. NCBI's taxonomy places the organism in Eukaryota, Metazoa, Chordata, Mammalia, Primates, Cebidae.
CCUCUGUAGUGAGUAGUGGGCAUAUUCAUCCUUUCUAACGGUACCAUGAACUGGGCGUCCCCAUCAUGGGAUGGGGAAACAGAGACUCAGUAGCCGUCUCUAUAAGGAGCCUGGGAUCCUCUGCGGGUUCCAUCAUUGGUAUGCUGUGUGUCUUCGAGCCUGUCUUGGGCCUCAGUCUCCUGAGCUGUGAAAUGGGAAUUGUUUACUUGGUGGGAGAACAAUGGCUGCCUGCGGGAUCCCCGGGUUCAGGGUUGUGACUUCCCUGAUAGCUAGGUACCUUCAUUGGGUUGUUCUUCUCCACCACGCCAUCCCGGUCUGCGUCCACAUCCAAGGAGAUCUCUGCGGAAAAGAGACAUGGUAGAGACAGGGUUUCACCAUGUCGGCCAGGAUGGUCUCAAUCUCCUGAUCCCAUGAUCCACCUGCCUUGGCCUCCCAAACUGCUGGGAUUACAGGCAUGAGCCACUGCACCCAGCCUGAGAAACUGCAUUUUUAACAAGCUCCCAGGUGAUGUUGAUGCUGACGGUCCAGGGACCACAGUUUGACAACCACUGAGUUGGACAAGGGAGGAGAGAGAGGAGAAGAGAUCUCCAAGCAACAGGACAGCUUGCGUGAUGGCCCGAGGUGGAGCCUCUGCCUGGGGAAUCCCAGGGAAGGGAUUCCUCCCACCUCCACCUCAGGGACGCAGAUGGAACCAGGAGACCGCUUGGCACAGGCAAAGGGACGGUGUUCGCAUCAUUCCUGUGUCCUGAGGCUCCUGCAGACCUCAGGAUCUGGAUCCUGGCCUCUGUCCACCAGGGAGGAAAAGAAGACCCCUGCCUUCUUGAGAACUCUCACUCCCUUUGACAGAAGCUUAAGCUGAGGGAGGGACAGAAGAAGCUAUUCCCGAGGCCCAGCUUGUGGGAGAGGGUGACCACCCUGCUACCUACUUUACUCCGAGGGUGCCCCCUCUCUAGUCCUUCCAGAUUCCGGGAAUGCCCGUGCCUCCAGUGUUCAUGAGACAUAGGUGGCCAGGAUGGAACCGACCUAGGUUCCCUUCUGUGCCCUCUCUCCAACUUCAAGACCGAAUCAGAUGGGGACCAAGGCCAGCCCCCCUGAAGAAGUGGCUAUCAGCUAAAGGCACCACUGGAGGAGAGUGUGUGGGCCAGGCAUACCUGUGCCAAGACUAAGAUGAGUGUAUUUGGGAAGAGCAGAAGGAAACAGCAAAUAUCUUUAACAACAAUCACAAAAUACAGUCUCUAAGAAACACACUACUUCCUUCUUUCUGUGUAUGUAUUCAUUGCUUGCUGGAGACCAGCAGUCAGAAUGCGGCUGGGUCAAGGCAUCCAUCCUCAAAGGAGCCAGUUUUGCUAGGAGAGCGUGGGUGGCCCAGAGCACCCCUGCCCUUGGUGGCCUGGAUGACAGCUCAUGGGGCAGCAAAGUGGUCGAUUGUUCAUAACCGUGACCUCGAAUAUAUAAUUUCUACUGGACACAAGUCUUUCCUCGUGUUCUCUGAUCGAUCCUCAUUUGGGUCAGUGGAGGCUCAGAGAAGUAAAAUGAUUUGGUCAAGGUCACACAGCUGUGGAUGGAAGCUGGUACAGCAGUGCCUGCCAGGACCACAAGGUCCAUUGAGGAAUGGGGCUGGGGAGGCCCCUGCUGUGUGUGUGCAGGGGAACAGGCCAUGUCUGCAUUACAGGAAAGGGAGCCCAGAGCCCUUGGGGAAGGGAGUGGGUGUUGAGGCCGGUUCACUCACCUUCAGGACUCAGAAGGAGUGAGGGUCAGGACGCCACUCCCUAAUAAACUGGGCCCAGCACCCUCCGGGCCUUGUGCCUUGGGGUCUACUUGGAGGCUCUGGGGGCAUCCCUUGGAGUUUUGAGCCAAGACCUGUGUCUGGGAUGGGAAGGACUCAGGGAAAUGUGGAAGGCCAAAUGGGAGUUGGUGAAGUCUCUGGGGACAGCGGGCUCAUGGCCAGGGUGGAAGAGACACAGGCUGAGAGAGUUGUCCAGUUCAACCUGCUGGUUUCAGGGUCACAUAGGACAGAGCGGGGAAUAAGAGCAUGAGUUCUGAGUCAGACAGACCUGGACCUGAGUCCUGUGUGACACUGGACGAAUGGCUUCAUCUCUCUGAGCCUCACCUUUGUCAUCUGUAAAAUGGGAUGGUCAGAGUCUACGGUGAGAAAUAAAGGAGGUGGUGGUUUCAGUUCCUAUGUGCCCACUAACACCUCCUCCUGUUGUCAGUGCUGACAGCUGCUCUCAUGACUACAUAAUUCGAGUAACAAAGCAGUAACAACUCAAGCUCCUUAGACCUGGGAGUGGCUUCCUUCCACUGGACCAGUGAGUCUCAACUGGCUGUGAUUUUGCCCCCACACCCCAUGCCAGGGGACUGCUGGCACUGUCUGGAGACAUUUUUGGUCAUCACAAUUUGGGGGUUGCUACUGUCAUCCAGGAGACAGAGGUCAGGGAUGCCACUAAAUAUCCUACUGCAACAAAGAAACGUUGAGCCGACACUGAGAACUCUGCACUAGGCCUGUGCUGUCCAGGAUGGUGGCUGCCAGCAUGGUGGCCAGUGAGCACCUGAGAUGCGCUCAGUCUACGCUGAGAUGUGCUGAAGUGUAAAAUGUGCACUGGAAGGCUGGGUGCAGUGGCUCAUGCUUGUAAUCCCAGCACUUUAGGAGGCCGAGGUGGGUGGAUCACUUGAGGCCAGGAAUUUGAGACCAGCCUGGCCAACAUAGUGAAAUGUUGUGUCUACUAAAAAUACAAAAAUUAGCCGAGUGUGGUAGCAGGUAGUUGUCCCAGCUACUUAGGAGGCUGAGGCAUGAGAAUCACUUGAACCUGGGAGGCAGAGGUUGCAGUGAGCUGAGAUUGCGCCACUGCACUCUAGCCUGGGUGACAGCAAGACUCUGCCUCAAAAAAAAAAAAAAAAAAAAAAAAAAAGUACACUGGAUUACAAAGACUUAGCAUGAAAAAAAAAAAAGAAUGUAAACCAUUUGAUUAAUAACUUUUAUAUUGAUUACAUGUUGAAAUAGUAAUAUUUUAAA